UGGUGGCUUGGGCUUGGGGUGGUUGUAUUUUGAUAGUUUUCGGAUUUUUGCUUCUGAUUUUUGCCUUUUGCAACUUUGUGAUGUUACGUAAAUCGUAGGAUCCCGCAUCGGUUGGAUUUUGUUCUGAGUGCUUUUUCCCCUGUCUAAUCUUUCAAGUGCUUUAAAGACGAUGUGUUAUUUUAAUACUGAUACUAUUGAAAGAAGCUUACAUUUUUGGUCGUACGUAACAAUCCCAACCCCCACUUGGGGGGGGUGUAAUUGUCUCUCUCCCCUUGGACUUUUACUGAAAGGAGGCUUUCCUGCACUUGAGAGACGUGUUGAAAGGAUUUGUUUUGUUUUGAUUUGUUUCUUUCCAGGACAGCAAGUGGUGGGUUUUACUCUUUCUGUUAUUGUUGACUCUUAGGAAAUUUAUUGCUGCGAGAAAUGGUGUGUAUUCGGGGAGAGGGGUAUGUGUAUGCCUGUGUUCUACAGAAUUCUGUGAGCCAAAUAAAUGUUUGUGUUUUGCUUUUUCUUAAGGUCUUGAUUUCCCCCUCCCUCCCAGCUCCUUUCAAGGUCGUUGUAAAAAAUCUCUCCUGUCUGUGUUUAAAGCGAUCAGCCGGAGGGAAUUCUAAAGGCCUGCCGUGCCAGUAUCACAGAUACUGCGUGUAUUUAGAACAGACUGUGCUACAACUACACCACGCUGCACGCAGCACAGUCCUCAGCUUUAGAGCUGAGUUAGGAGGACGAGGAAAGGGGGGAAAUCUUUCUUUUUUCCUUCCUUUCUUUUUAAAGGCAAAUGCAAGUGCAGAAUCAUUUCACUGUGGGCCUUGGUUUGUUUAUUCAGAACUGCCAGUUUCCCUAUUUAAAUGUUGGUUGGGGUUUUUUCCCCUCCUACUCAUCCCUGAAUGAGGGAGACUCUUGUUUCUUUUAUGUCUCUCUCUUAAAAGAAGGGUGUGAGGGGAAAAUAAUAUUUCAGAUUCCUCAAGUAUUAACCCAAAAUGUUUGGACCAGAAGCAGCUUUCAAAGGUCAGGCUGUUCUGAGUCUUGGCUAUAAGAGUCCUUCAGGCGACUCAUUAAAUUACAGAUGAGUUCUUAAAGGUUCAACAAAAUUUCUGCACAUGUUAAUUUCUAAUAAGAUAUCUCACAAAAGAAUCUACCUUUCCCAACCCCAAAUUUGGGUUUACAGUGGAGAAGUGAGCAGAGUUAUGAAAGAUUGCUGGCUGUUUCCUGGGAUAUUUGGGUUCUUUCCCUAAAGUCCGUAAGAAGUUCAGAUCUGUCGUUCAAAAUGUUGCUGUUAGUGCAGCCCCCUUUUGAAAAGGCUGUGUUGGGGUUUUUAGAACCAGGAGAGAUCCAGAGGGGCUGAUUAUUUUCCACAAGGGCUGGAGCUUAGGAAAUAUGCAUAAGUGUCUGUCCCUGUGAAAUCUGAAUAUUUUAAUACUUAUUGACAGAUGGAUUACUGCAGCCUCUGCAGAAAAGCCUGUCUUGUGAAGGAUUUUUGAAAAAUAUACAUGGGCCUAAUCCUGUCACUGUUGUCGAAAUGAACAUUUUACCCCCCAAAGACUCAUGAUAUCCUCAAGUGCAGAUUUAUUUCGCCAGAAGGCAGACUUUUUUUUUUUUUUUUUUUGGGUCUCCUUCCCCCUCAUAAUCAAAGAGUUUUAAAGGAAUCCCACUGGAUUCAAAAUGACACCCCGAUUUUGCCGAUCUUCUUUGUGUAUUUACGCGGGUGAUAAUUUUUCUAUCGUUUUUGAGUAGUAAGAAAUUUAGGGUUUCUCAAGUGUUAUCUGUAUGGUUUAGAAUGUGAAUUGUAUGGCCCUGCCCUAUUAUUGAUUCUACAGUGAGAUUACUUUGGGGUCACUCUUCUUGUCAAAGUUGCCUUCCAGCCUCAUUGGCUCCGCCGCCACUCUCCCCUCCCCUCCCCCCGCCCGACCGCCCGCCCGCCGCACACACAAAGCAUGUCCCUCCCGCGUUCUCUUUGCCACUCCAGUCUUAGCCCCAUGGGGGCGCUGCAGAGCAAAGGGAAAUGUCCCUCUGGCAGUAGAACCAACCAGAGUGGGGGCUGGGAAUGAAUUCACCCUUCUUGAAGCUUAGUUCUCUUUAAUUCUCUGCGGGGAGCCCUUGGAGGGAGACCCCACCAGGCCAGGUUUAUAGAUAAUUAAUCCCACCACCAGGGACCUCAGACUUUCUCAGCACAUUAUUUUUGGGGCGGGUGCCAGAGUCUCACAUUUUUACUACUGUUGGGGGCGGGGGCAUUUGUUUCUUUUGCCAAAUUAAAGUGUUUACCUUGAAAGAAAUUUAUCAGAACAAGAGAUAAGUUAAAAAUUAUGGAAAAGAUGUUAACGCUACAGAUUUACUAUAGAUAUAUCUCUUCUCUCUACUGAGUGAAUGGUGAGGAAAAUUGUGCACCCACUUUUCAAUCUUGUUUCAAUUCCUAGGCAAAUAAGUAACUUUAUCAAACUCUAUAUCGAUUGAAUAUCUUCUAAAAUGUCCUGUCUUUUCUCAUUCUUGAUCUCUCCCCAUUUAGCCAGUUGGCUUCUCUAUGUGGUCCGCGCUCACUCCAGCAGGAUUAAAGAAAGGAUUGACUUGAAUAUAUUUAAAUUCUUUUAAAUCAUCCUUAAGAAGCUCUAUAGAGAGAUUCCAUUUCUGGGGUCUUAGGUGUGAUUCCUGUGGACUUGGAGGAGCUAUGUAUCAACCAGUCCUGUGAUUUAAUGGUUACUGACUUUUAAUACUCAAGAGUACAGGACCAGACCAGCCCCUUUGCCUGGUGGCCUGGGUGGUCUGGGCAUAGUAAGAGGUUCUCAAUCACCAGUUCUGAGUAAAGAUAAGCUUUGUUACAAAAUAAAAUAGCUUGGCCCUAAUAUUACUUCUAGUUAAGAAGAGGAACAGAUUUUUGCCUCCAGUUCCCCUCAUGAAACCUUGCCCACAGUUCAGUCAUCUCUGAAAAGGAAACUAUACUUGGAAUAAACACUGUCAUGGCCUAUUUCUAAGGGGCUCCAAACCGGAAAUGAGUUUCACCUGUCAGGAGCUUUUGGCACCUUGGUAGAUCUUUAAACUUUCACAUCACAGAAUUAUAGAUUGUGGAACGGGAAGGAUCCCUGCAGAUCUAUGACUCAACUCCUGGAGGCUUCCUUCUUUCAAGAGGACAGGACAGCCCUCACUGAGGCAUGUGGGACCCCAGGACACAACUGAAAACAGAUCUUUGUGGUGUAAUGGUUUUGUGUCAUUUUAGAGAAUCAGGGUGAUCUGACUACCUGGAUUUGGAGGUGAGUAUCUUGUUUUCUGGCAGAACUGAGGAAAGGAAGGCUGCUUUGGGCUCUGUGUAAAUCGUAAGCCAGUUCUCGGAACAAACUUCAAGUCCCGAUGAAUAUUGGGCUUGGAGGGUCAUUUGGGACUUGGUUAUGCUUGUCACCCCUGCUACAGCACUCAACACUAUUUGUGAAGGAUAAGGGAGAUCUUAUUUAUCCAUUCGUUUUAUUUCAAAUCUUUUACUUAGAGCUAUUGUAAGCGAGCUCCCUAUAUUAUCUUUAGAGAAAGAAAGAAAUUUUCUUGGUAUGAUUUAGAGAAAUUGAGCAGAAACUUUUGAGACAUUAAAAAAAAUAAGGAAGAUGAUUUCCAGCCACUACCUUCAGAAAAAGAAGUGUCAACGUUUAAUUUUGAUCCAUAUGCUGCCUGCUUUCAGCCUGUAUUAAUUCUGAGCCUUUUUUUUUCUUUAGAAACCUUUUCAGCCUAGCUCAGAGUUUUCCCCCAAAACACUGAUUUUUUUUUCCUACACUUUUCUCACUUAUUUAAAAUGGAAAUAAAUAUCAGGAGCUUAAAAUAGAGAAGCGAUGGGGGUGCAUAAUCAUUUGUUUAUUGCCUUCAAUCACUGUUUUGAAUAACAGGGUUUUCACUUCCUAUGAAACCUUAGCAUGAGGGAAAGCAGCAGCUGGACCAGGAGGGAGAUGCAGGGAGGAAAGCACUUGAGUGUUUGUCAACUCAGGGUGUCUGGCCCACCCUCCCGCCAGGCUGCCUUACUUAGCUGUCUUUACUACCUAAGGCUAGAAGUGGAAAAACUUGAUUUGCGUGUUGUGCCUGCAUUUUUUUUUUUUCCUUCUCCACACCGCCCUCUGUACACCUGACCAUGCCAAAGCCUAUCUGAAGCCGGCUUGACUGCAGGCAGAGCUGGAGAGCAGAAGAAUGUGCAGAGGGAGGGAGUGCUCGGUACUUUUCCAUUCACAUCUCCACAGUGGCUUUUCUUGUUUAUUUCAACCUCCACCCGCAGAACCCUUUCAGCUGCCUGAAAUCCGAGUCAUUAAACUGUUCCCUGAGGUCAGACCACAGAUGCUUGGUGCAUGUUUCCUACGUGUCCACGUCUAUGUAACAUAUGUACAUACAGAGAAAUAGGCACAAACGUGUAACUCCAUGGGGGCACAGUGUGAGGUAAAAGAAAAACAAAACAAAACAUGGAUUUCUUGCCAAAGAACCUUGGUUUCUAAUUACGGUUCUGCCUGGAACUCCUUAUGGGACAUGGGGCGAAACCACGUGUCAGGACUCAGUUUCCUCAACAGUUUGAAGGAGUAACCCAGAUGUUUUGUAGGCUGUCUCUCUAUUCUAACUUUUAUACUUUUAUAGCUAAAUACACAUUUAGAUAACUUUAAGGUGAGGGGGGCUGGAAAAGAGGCAAGUGUAUAUGUGUCCCUGAGGUGAGAGAAGGAGUUAAAAUGUAAACUUCUAAGUAAAGAAGGCACUCCCAGAAUCCUCACCUCUAUCAAUUUUUAACCAAUUGUGGACCAAAGUCUGGGAUUCUGCUGAGUAAGUCCAAAAGCCAACUGAAGAUUUUCAAUGUUAAGAGCUGGAGGAAGCCAAUUCUAAGACGUUAUACCUUUGAUCUCCAGCAUUUAUAAUCAGAUGUGACAGUUCCCAAGCAUCUUUUCUGCACUAUGUUUUUUGUUUUUUUUUUCCUUCUUUUUCUGUUUGUUUUUGGAAAUUGUCCCAGUCAGUGAUAGGACUUGUAAGCUGGACACUCUUUAAGCCGCUAGGCUCCACAUGGAUGUAAAAAAUAUGUCAUAAUAGUCAUAAACACACACACACACACACACACACACACACACACACGAAGAAAAAGGAGGGAAAAAAAAAAAAACCUAGAGAGAGAUUCCUGGUGAGAAACUUAGAAGUACUUCAGCCGUCAUCGCAUUAAAGGUAAUUAUUUGAAGUCAGAGGAAAUAACAGAUGAGAAGUUUGCCCUUAUUAAAAUAAAUAAAUAAAUAAAUAAGCCUUGCUCUACCAGAACAAACUUGAAGGCAAUGAAAGAGAUAUUUUCCAUCAAUACUUUGUAUCCUUUUUAGAUCUCCACUCUUUAAAAAGAAAGGUCUAAGGCCUGCUUAUCUGGACAAAGAAAGUCCUUUAACAGACUUUGGCAUCUGCAGGAAAUAAUAAAGUAACUCCUAUUUAUUAAACGCCAACCUCCCCACCAACUGUGCCCUUCCACUCAGACCUUCUGGAAUAUGGAUGCCCACAUACAAGAAGAGAUGGAGCCAAUUACAUUCUCUAAGGGAAAACUAUUGAGAGUUGUCAUGUGCAACCCUGGGAGGGUCCUCAGCAAUUUUCCAAUCCAACAUGACCGAUAGUGUGUAAUUGAAAAUUGAGGCCCACACAGAAUGCAUUUGCCACAUGCACUGCAUCAAACUGAACCAGAUCCAGAACUCUGAUGUCCUGGUUUUAAAUCCAUUGUGUUUUUCCAUGGCUUAUUGUGAAAAGAGGAUGUGGGGUAAGCAGCCCUGCAAAAGAGCCAUUUGCCAUGACCUUCCCUUCAGAGAAGGCCCCACCUUUGGUCUUUUGACAUCAGCUCCACUGAAGUUCUAGUCGGUCUUAGCCGUACACUGACAGGAUGGAAAGGAGCAGACCGUCAUCCAUACAUUCUGUGUGUGUCCCAGUAGAGGACCCAGCAUAGGAGGCCCCACAGGCUCCUGUGGUACUGUGAUUUAAUACUGUUAAUAAACCUAUAAUUGUCUCAUGAAGAGUACAACUGUGCUGUAAUUGUAUGUAUGUUAGUGUUAAAAAUGUAAAAUGUAAUAUAUUUUUGGCCUAGAAGCAAUGAUGCUGCAGUAUCAAAGACCCUGCCUGGUGCCAGAUCUUAAUUUCUGAUACUUUUCUCCAGUAAGAAAAGCAAGGCAGGAGCUUCUCCCAGGAGGGAAAAUUGCUGGUUCUAUAUCUCCAAACGGGACAGGGAGUAUGGAACAUAGCACCCUAAAUAAGGAAGCACUAAAAAGCAAACAAACAAAGCCCACAUUGAUGGGGAAGAUUUCAAAGAGACACUGGAGCCACCUGAAGAGCUUCCAAUAGUCAAAGCCAGAGAAUUUUUGAGGGGGGAAAAUUGAGUAAUAUUGAAUUACAAUCCAAAGUAUAAAGUAAAUGUACACGAAUCCUCAGUGAUAUGAAUAAAUUUUAAAUAAAUUAAUAAAUGGGAGAAAAGAGACAAUUCUCCCUUGCAGAAUUCCAAAUAAUUUAUGCAGAAACACUGCUCUCAAAGAUGGGGGUGGAGGUGGUGGGGGGCGUGUUUAACUCCUCACUCCUCCAAUGUGAACUAGGCAUAGUGACUUCCUUCCAAAGGCUAGAAUAUGGGAAGGGAGGAAAUGAGGGAGGGAAUAAUUUUACAUGUAGAAACCUGACAGACACUGCACCAGCCAGGUUAUCAAGGUCUAUAUCAGCAAUUAUAAACCAGGGUGAUUGUAUGUACCUUGGAUAUGAAGUGAUGAGAAUGGCUCUUUACCUCUGUGGUCUUCUCCCCAAACCCCAGUGUACUUAUGAGAAAUGUAUCAAAUUCCAACAGAGGAGCCUUUUACAAUAUACUUCACUAGUGCUUCUCAAAACCAUCAAGGAAAGUCCGACAAACUGCCACAGCCAAGAGUAGCCUAAGAGAUAUGACAAUAUAAUAUAGUAUCAUGGAUGGGAUCAUGGAACAGAAAAAGACUUAAGGUCAAGCCAGACAACUAUGAAUAAAUGAUGAACUUCAGUU
RNAcentral lists this long non-coding RNA (6973 nucleotides) under Sus scrofa (pig). RNAcentral describes it as "lncRNA (ENSSSCG00000060575.1)". The record is from RNAcentral. Lineage: Eukaryota; Metazoa; Chordata; Mammalia; Artiodactyla; Suidae.